CCUACGGGAGGCAGCAGUGGGGAAUAUUGGACAAUGGGCGAAAGCCUGAUCCAGCCAUGCCGCGUGUGUGAAGAAGGCCUUCGGGUUGUAAAGCACUUUCAGUGGGGAAGAAAGCCUUGGGGCUAAUACCCUCGAGGAAGGACAUCACCCACAGAAGAAGCACCGGCUAACUCCGUGCCAGCAGCCGCGGUAAUACGGAGGGUGCGAGCGUUAAUCGGAAUUACUGGGCGUAAAGCGCGCGUAGGCGGUCUGAUAAGCCGGUUGUGAAAGCCCCGGGCUCAACCUGGGAACGGCAUCCGGAACUGUCAGGCUAGAGUGCAGGAGAGGAAGGUAGAAUUCCCGGUGUAGCGGUGAAAUGCGUAGAGAUCGGGAGGAAUACCAGUGGCGAAGGCGGCCUUCUGGACUGACACUGACGCUGAGGUGCGAAAGCGUGGGUAGCAAACAGGAUUAAAUACCCCAGUAGUC
RNAcentral lists this ribosomal RNA (465 nucleotides) under Vreelandella stevensii. RNAcentral's name for it is "partial 16S ribosomal RNA". It matches the Rfam family "Bacterial small subunit ribosomal RNA", at positions 338 to 795 of the family's 1533-position model. The record is from RNAcentral. Lineage: Bacteria; Pseudomonadati; Pseudomonadota; Gammaproteobacteria; Oceanospirillales; Halomonadaceae.